Molecule: ribosomal RNA, 482 nt
Filed under: uncultured bacterium
Lineage: Bacteria
Description: partial 16S ribosomal RNA
Rfam family: Bacterial small subunit ribosomal RNA
Source: RNAcentral
AUUGAACGCUGGCGGCAUGCUUUACACAUGCAAGUCGAACGGCAGCGCGGGGCAACCUGGCGGCGAGUGGCGAACGGGUGAGUAAUACAUCGGAACGUACCCAGAAGUGGGGGAUAACGUAGCGAAAGUUACGCUAAUACCGCAUACGUUCUACGGAAGAAAGUGGGGGACCUUCGGGCCUCAUGCUUUUGGAGCGGCCGAUGUCUGAUUAGCUAGUUGGUGAGGUAAAGGCUCACCAAGGCGACGAUCAGUAGCUGGUCUGAGAGGACGACCAGCCACACUGGGACUGAGACACGGCCCAGACUCCUACGGGAGGCAGCAGUGGGGAAUUUUGGACAAUGGGCGCAAGCCUGAUCCAGCAAUGCCGCGUGAGUGAAGAAGGCCUUCGGGUUGUAAAGCUCUUUUGUCAGGGAAGAAACGGCUGAGGAUAAUACCUUCGGCUAAUGACGGUACCUCAAGAAUAAGCACCGGCUAACUACGUG